GGGUCGGAGGUAUGACCCCCCACCCCUCUUAAAUUUCCAAUCCCCUGGAAAAAAUAAAUAUUUUACUCCCAUUUCUUUACAGCCACUAUCUUCAAUGUGCACUAAAACCCUUUGUUUCAUGGUUAUACGUUUUACUACUGUUUCAGCCCCUUAGCCUACCCCCCCAUCUACAUGCCUGCAAAUAACCAGUAAAUCAUAAUCUUUAUAUGCAGUUUCGAUGUCAGUCGUGUUGGGUUGUGUUGAGCGAAAUGAAAUCCGAGGAUGAUAAUUUGUUAGAGAAUCUAGAUAGACCUCUGACUUUUCGAGUGAAAUAUGUGAAGAUCUAAGUUGAAGUCAUCUAUCAAGUAACAAGGUUUCUUUUCUUUGUCUAACUGUUCAAGUAAAUUGGUAACUUGUAGCCGAUAUAUCACACCGCCAACAAUUAUGUUUGAACUAUUUCGAUAUGUAACUUUAAUGAAUAGAGUAUUGUAAAAUUUUCUUGAAAAAGUCUAACUUAAAAAAAUCCACAAAUCCGAGAAAAAAAAAUAGAUAAUUUUCACCUAAAGCACCCCCCCCCCCCCCCUUCCUCCUAUACACACACGUUGACUCCAAAAUCAAUAAGACUGUACCAAGAUAUUCUUCUCUCCGUUUUCGCGCCUGUGACCUCGGAGCCCUGGGGAUGUAAUGAGACUGUCGAACAUAAAAGUGAGUAAUUUUAUAUUCUGUGAAUCAAUCUUCUAUUAUGCUGUUGUCGUGCUGUUGAAAUGCAUAUACAGUGGAACCUGGAUUUUACAUGCCUCGGGAGAAAGAAAAUGUAUCGUAAAUUCGAGGUAUCGUUAGAAAGAGGUCCUCGAUUUUACGAUAUAAAGGAACCAUUGAAAAUGUUGUUGUAGCCAAGUCGGGUUAAUUAUCAACUUUUACAAAAUAAUAAUAUUGUAACAGUACUCAGGGCGUAAGACUGUACAGUUUCUCUUUGUAAACUGUAAUCUGCAUCUAACAAGAUCUGUCAAGUCAAGAAAAUCGAUUAACUGUACUGUACGUGUGUGGUGUUUUGAGUUUUUCUCUCUUUGUUGAUAGAAUCAGUAAUAUCGUUGUAUCGAGGUCAAAAUUACGCUCGUUGACCAAUGAAAAUACUCACUAUGUUUAUCACUAUGUUUAUCCCGAGGAGGGCCUGAGGUUAUUUGGCUAAAAUUAAUCGCCCCUUUUCAAGAAACGUAGUAUUCCAUGCCCCAAUCCCUCCCCCACGCUUUCUAUUAUUUCGGUGCCCCCCCCCCCCCCCCCGUAACGUUUCCGUUACACCCCCUUGACGCUUAGACGACCAACCCUAAGUUUGAUUGUCUUGCUAAUUGUUUUUUCGAGAUCUAUCCAAAUUCUAUAUCCAAAUUCAUGGUUAUUACAUUAAGCGUCGAGUGUUCUUACAUUAAAUGUUAAGUCCGUUAUUACAUUAAGCGUUGAAAAUUUGUUACAUUAAGCGUUAACUUCUUUAUUACAUAAAGCGUUGAUUUGUUGUUACAUUAAGCGUUAGUGUUACAUUAAGCGGCGAAUUUUGUUACAUAAAGCGUUAGUGUUACAUUAAGCGGCAGUUGUUACAUUAAGCGGUGAUACAGCUUGUUCCCAUAUCAAUAUUUGGGUGACCUUCAUACCCACUCGGCCGACCUCUUGGAGGCCUGGGUCUAAGGGCUUUUCAAGAUCAGUGAGAAAAAGAUUUGACCAAGCGAUCAAGUUUUUCUAACAAAUUUUGGCCGCAAGUCUCAAAUUGACAGGAAUCAGCAUAUUUUUUACCAUGUUUUCUGGAGAUCCGGGAGCGGGAAAACUUUAGCUCUUCUAAAUAUGGGCAUCAAUGCCCAUAUAAGGCAAUACAUACGAAGGACACUAUAUGUGGGGAAUAUGUGUGCACAGUCGGGGGGCGGCCACAAAUAACGCACGUUGGCCAUAGUUUUUUUGAAGGAAGGGAGGCUCUACAAGUCGUAAGUGGUCCUUACGACUUAAAUUUCUGUGGUACUCUUACUUAUGUAUUUUCUUAUUUUAGCGAUGUUUCGUAUGUGAUGGAAGGCUCCUUUAACAAUAGAAUUAACAUUGGCGAAAACGACAUCGUGUCAUCAAAAAUUAAACCGAGAUUGCGGGCCUGAUGAGAAGGUCUAAUGUUUUCAGUGCAAACAGAAAUCAUCGGGAGAGUCAUCCACAGAUUGAUGUCAGCAACACAACUUUCAAGAAGUUGCUUUGCAACCCCUAAGUCAGAAAUGUCAUUGCAGGCGAAGGUUGUAUAGAUCUGUGAAUCAUCGGCAUAAAAGUGGAACGACAGGCCAUGUUCACGAACAAUAUCCCCGAGAGGAGAUGUAUACAAUAAGUAAAGCACCGGGCCCAGAACCGAACGCUGGGGCACACCCCAGUCAAGAAGAUGAACUUUUGAUGUAGUUUUGCCUACUUUUACAAGCUGAGUAUGGUUUGUUAAGAAUGAUCGUAACCAGUCUAGGGCCUUUCCUUUGACACCAAACCUAGAGAAGAGCAUUCCGAGAAGAAUUUCGUGAUCAACUGUGUCAAAAGCUGCGGAAAGAUCCAGUAGCAAGAGCAAAACACCGCGAUGACUGUCGAUGGCUUUAAGGAUGUCAUCUUGCACUCGAAUCAGAGCUGUUUCACAGCUGUGAUUGGUUUUAUAAUCAGAUUGAAGUUCUUCGUUUAAUCCAUUGGAGCAUAAAUAUUCCCACAGCUGAGAAGCUGCAACUUUUUCUGCUGCCUUGGACACGAGCAUGAGGUUUGAUACCGGCCUGAAAUUAGGAAAGACCUCAUGUCCUCUUCAGAAACACUUAUAAACUUUGCUAUAUUAGAGUUAUAGUACGUGCCACCUCUCUUUAAUGAUAAGCAAUUGGUGAUUAGGGGCUGAGGGGUUGCCAGUUCUCCCCCCCACACUUUUCUAAGCAGAUGUUUCAAGCGGUACAUAUGCAACCAGAAACAAAUAUGUUGAACAGUUUAAAAUCCCGUGCAUAAACACUAGGCAUGUGUAGAUAGUACUAGUGAAUUUAGGAAAAGUUGCUUGAAAAUAUAGCCGAAAGUCGCUCUAAUGUUGCUAAUAUAUCC
Long non-coding RNA from Nematostella vectensis (starlet sea anemone), 3054 nucleotides. RefSeq lists it as uncharacterized. The record is from RefSeq and is a predicted model, not a curated record. NCBI's taxonomy places the organism in Eukaryota, Metazoa, Cnidaria, Anthozoa, Actiniaria, Edwardsiidae. The transcript is spliced from 2 exons.